UUCAGCUGAUUAUUAGGAGAUUAGUUUUGUUUUAGUCAUUAUCCUAUUAACUAGUAAUAGUUGUUCCUAUUUUAUAGGCAUGUUAGCAGUCUUUUAGCAGUCCAUGUUCUGUGUACUGCCCCUCUACUUAUUUAAUCAACUUGAAGUUCAAUAAAAAAUUACUUCAGAUUUCAAUUCAUCUUGCUGUUUCAGUUAAAUUAUCA
This 203-nucleotide long non-coding RNA is filed under the name Solanum tuberosum (potato). RNAcentral describes it as "long non-coding RNA (STUB_LNC007151)". Lineage: Eukaryota; Viridiplantae; Streptophyta; Magnoliopsida; Solanales; Solanaceae. The record is from RNAcentral.